UAAAAGAGGAGAUUCUCCGUCCGCUAGUAAUUCUAGCGGACUGAUUUAAAACAUUUUUAGGUCCUAAAUGCCCCUAAUUAGCCUACACCCCGUCCGCUAGAAAUUCUGGUAGACACAUAUUUCUAAAUUAAUCGACUGUAAUCUGAAAAGGUAACAAACUCGCCUUCUCUGCGGCUUUUCCUCAUGAUAGCUCCAAAUCGACUGUAGAUCGGCAAUUAGGAGUGUAAAUUGGGGCUCCCUAGCUCCAAAUCGACUGUAGAUCGGCAAUUAGGAGUGCAAAUUGGGGCUUGUGCGUCCAAAUAUCCUUGGAUGUGAAAACGAUUUGGGGGGAAAAGGUAACAAAAAUUCCUUGUGCCUUCUUCUAAUAUGUAAUUGUUAAGCAUACUAACCAGUUAAUAUGUUGUUUGUGGUGAACGAUAGAGUUCCAAGUCACUGUAGUUGAAGAGGGGUUGGGGGUUAUUUUUGCGGAAGUAUUUCAACUUCAUACCCUGUCCUACCCUUUUUAUUUUCAUCAAGACAAAAGUAACAUGAGAUCCUGAUCAUGGAUGUUAGUAAGUCAAUGGUAAAUAUCUCAAUCCUUCUUCUCCAUUGGUGGUAUGUGUUGAAAAUUGUCUACAAUGAGGGCAUAUAUACUUCUCAAGUUGUGGUUAUUAGGAGGAGAUUAAGUUUAAGGCCCAUAAUUUGUUGGUGAUUUGAAAACUUGAUGGAAGAUGUGUGUGUGUGUGUGUGUAUAUAUAUAUAUAUAUAUAUAUAUAUAUAUAUAUAUAUAUCCUUUUCCAACAGUCAAAUUAUUAUUUGUGCUUUGGGGCAUCAGUGAAUUUGAUUUUUGAUAGGUUAGCCUGUAACCAAGUAUAUAUAAUUUGAGUUUAUCUUAGAUAAUUUGUGUGAUUCUAAUAAUCAUAGUGAGGUUAAGAUCCUUCAAAGUGGACAGGUUGAGAAAAAGUGUACUCAUUUACAAAAUGAUGUUGUUACUAGAGUUGGUAUUGAUUGGAGAGAAGCAUUUAAAAGAGCAUAUGAAGGUAUACUUGAGUUUUAUUUCAUGACAAAUAGGACUUGGUCUUGGGCUCUUGGCAUAUCAGUAAUUAUGUUCUCCUUUUAUUUUAAUCUUAUAUAAAACUAAUAAAAGUUAUCCCAGUGAGAUAAUGUUACAUGCGACAGUUUGACAUGAUUUUUUUAUUUUGUUCAGUGAAAUGUCUAGCACAAUAGGGAUUAAUAUGCAUUGUGCAUGUAAUAUAUAUUAGUUUGUAUUCGUUCAAAAGAAAUUAGACAUCUGGUUGGUGCAUGUUAUUGGUAGUACAGAUCUACUGUAAGAGCAUAUGAAGGUAUACAUCAUACUAUUGCAGAGGUUUUGAUGAUGAAAUGAGAACCAUGGUUGCAAGAAACCUGGAAGGAAGGGGAGUUCAUUUACAUCCAUAAACAAACUUGAUAGAGGUGCUUCAUUAUUUGUUCAAAUCAUGUUAUAUUUAAGUUUGCUAACUAUUGGUUCAACUAGAACUCCCAUCUUAUGAUUUUCUUUUUAGAUUAUAUUAUUUUGCACAUAGAUAUUGAAUGUAAACGUUUUUGUAUCUAUAAACUUGCAUGAAAGCUAGUGGUUAUAGUGUUUGUAUUCGAUCAAAGUAUGAUACAAUACCAUUGAAUUUAGUUCAUACUUCAUUGAAUGUGAUGUUGCAAGUCACCUAAUCAUUUUGGAAGCAAUGAAGCUCAUGGCAUGAUUAUCCAGGGCACACACUACAAAAUUGACAUGCUGUAUUAACUUUAAAAUCAAGGGACAGGAUUUUAUAUGUUAAGCAUAUUGGUCCUUAACUAGUAGGUUUGUCCCAUAACGUAUGCUUGGUUCUACAUCUGAUUGAAAAACUUCUCCUUCAGCUCUAUGCUUGUGUUAUACUGCGCUCAUGAUUUGGAAUUGGAUUUGGAAAGAUUUGAAAUUGGAUUUAAUUUGGUUGUGCACAAUGUUGCUGUGAUAUUUGGCUGUGCAGAGUGUUGCUGUGAUUUGAUUUAUAUUGUUGUGAUUUUAUUUGGUUGUGUUCGUGAACACUGUGUUGUUGUGGCUGUGAUUUAUGUUACUUUCACACUGUGUUGUUGUGCCUGAGAUUUAUGUUGCUGUGAUGUUGCAGGAGGUUUGGUUUACAGGCUUUGAUAUGGAAUAUGAAUAAGACGCAUAUCUUGUUGUGAUGUUGCAGGAGGUUUAUGUUGCUGUGAUGUCGUUAGGAGGAAUUGGUUUUGAUGUUGCAGCAGGUCUUUCUUUUAUUUGUUAUAGGUCGUUCUUUUAUUUGUUAAACGUUGACAACAGGUUUACAACAUAUGUACUGGACAACAGCUGGACAACGGGGAGGUUUAUGUUGCUGUGAUAUGUACUGGACAACAGGAUAUGUAUUUAACACUCCGCUAGUCUUACUAACGGACAGACAAUUUCCAAUUACCCAAUUACUUCAGUGGGGGGCAUAUUUGUCCAAAAAAUGUUUUAAUAUGUUCGCUAGAAUUACUAGCGGACGGUGCAUAUCAUUUCAAAAUCUGGGUCAUUUAUAUUUCUAAUGGAAGGUGUAGAUGUUAUAUGCUACUUUUUGAUCCAUAGCAAAUAAAUGCUAUGGAUCAUUCUCCUAUAUAUAUAUAUACUGAAUCACCUAUAUAUAUAUAUAUACUGAAUCAGGUUAUAUAUUGAAAUAUGUUAUAUAUUGAAUCAACAGCACUUGUGGACUAAUAUAUAUAUACAUACACUAAUAUUUUCUCUUUUACCAAAU
Molecule: long non-coding RNA, 2738 nt
Filed under: Panax ginseng (ginseng)
Lineage: Eukaryota; Viridiplantae; Streptophyta; Magnoliopsida; Apiales; Araliaceae
Description: long non-coding RNA (PGIN_LNC006275)
Source: RNAcentral